Molecule: long non-coding RNA, 400 nt
Filed under: Rattus norvegicus (Norway rat)
Lineage: Eukaryota; Metazoa; Chordata; Mammalia; Rodentia; Muridae
Description: long non-coding RNA NONRATT007255
Source: RNAcentral
GCACCGUCAGGGCUUCUGUGUGCCUGGACUGUAGAUUCAGCGACACUAGCUCAGAAUAAACCUUGUCAAUGAAACAGUCCAGCACUGUCCACAGGAGAGAUCGCUGUCAUCCUAAAAGGUCUUUCUUUCCUCACCGCUCAGGCGAGACACCUGAGGGCUUAGACCUAUGGCCAUCCUACGUUCAAAAGGUUACAGUUGCCGUGGUCCAGGUCCACUGUGGUUGCCAGGAAACAGCACAUUGCACAAAUCCCAAGGGCUCAGCCUGGGUUCGCCCUCACAUAAAGGGAAACCAAAAAGUUAGAGAGAACUGGUUGGUCAAAAAUUUCAUUCUAGGAUGCCGCCAAGCCCUGCCCAGAAAACAUUGCUUCUUUAUAAAUAAUAAUUAAAAAAUAAAAAAGGA